GACGAACGCUGGCGGCGUGCUUAACACAUGCAAGUCGAACGGUAAGGCUCCAGCUUGCUGGGGUACACGAGUGGCGAACGGGUGAGUAACACGUGGGUGACCUGCCCUGCACUUCGGGAUAAGCCUGGGAAACUGGGUCUAAUACCGGAUAGGACUGCACCGUGAGGGUGUGGUGGAAAGUUUUUUCGGUGUGGGAUGGGCCCGCGGCCUAUCAGCUUGUUGGUGGGGUAAUGGCCUACCAAGGCGGCGACGGGUAGCCGGCCUGAGAGGGUGGACGGCCACAUUGGGACUGAGACACGGCCCAGACUCCUACGGGAGGCAGCAGUGGGGAAUAUUGCACAAUGGGCGGAAGCCUGAUGCAGCGACGCCGCGUGGGGGAUGACGGCCUUCGGGUUGUAAACUCCUUUCACCAUCGACGAAGGGUUUCUGACGGUAGAUGGAGAAGAAGCACCGGCUAACUACGUGCCAGCAGCCGCGGUAAUACGUAGGGUGCGAGCGUUGUCCGGAAUUACUGGGCGUAAAGAGCUCGUAGGUGGUUUGUCGCGUCGUCUGUGAAAUUCCGGGGCUUAACUCCGGGCGUGCAGGCGAUACGGGCAUAACUUGAGUACUGUAGGGGAGACUGGAAUUCCUGGUGUAGCGGUGAAAUGCGCAGAUAUCAGGAGGAACACCGGUGGCGAAGGCGGGUCUCUGGGCAGUAACUGACGCUGAGGAGCGAAAGCAUGGGGAGCGAACAGGAUUAGAUACCCUGGUAGUCCAUGCCGUAAACGGUGGGCGCUAGGUGUGGGUUUCCUUCCACGGGAUCCGUGCCGUAGCUAACGCAUUAAGCGCCCCGCCUGGGGAGUACGGCCGCAAGGCUAAAACUCAAAGGAAUUGACGGGGGCCCGCACAAGCGGCGGAGCAUGUGGAUUAAUUCGAUGCAACGCGAAGAACCUUACCUGGGCUUGACAUAUACAGGAUCGCGCCAGAGAUGGUGUUUCCCUUGUGGCUUGUAUACAGGUGGUGCAUGGUUGUCGUCAGCUCGUGUCGUGAGAUGUUGGGUUAAGUCCCGCAACGAGCGCAACCCUUGUCUUAUGUUGCCAGCACGUUGUGGUGGGGACUCGUAAGAAACUGCCGGGGUUAACUCGGAGGAAGGUGGGGAUGACGUCAAAUCAUCAUGCCCCUUAUGUCCAGGGCUUCACACAUGCUACAAUGGCCGGUACAGAGGGCUGCGAUGCUGUAAAGCGGAGCGAAUCUCUUAAAGCCGGUCUCAGUUCGGAUUGGGGUCUGCAACUCGACCCCAUGAAGUCGGAGUCGCUAGUAAUCGCAGAUCAGCAACGCUGCGGUGAAUACGUUCCCGGGCCU
This 1341-nucleotide ribosomal RNA is filed under the name uncultured bacterium. RNAcentral describes it as "bacterial SSU rRNA". It matches the Rfam family "Bacterial small subunit ribosomal RNA", at positions 28 to 1381 of the family's 1533-position model. The record is from RNAcentral.